RNAcentral lists this ribosomal RNA (843 nucleotides) under Wolbachia endosymbiont of Pediculus capitis. RNAcentral describes it as "bacterial SSU rRNA". It matches the Rfam family "Bacterial small subunit ribosomal RNA", at positions 82 to 964 of the family's 1533-position model. Lineage: Bacteria; Pseudomonadati; Pseudomonadota; Alphaproteobacteria; Rickettsiales; Anaplasmataceae. The record is from RNAcentral.
UAUGUAUAACUUAGUGGCAGACGGGUGAGUAAUGUAUAGGAUCUACCUAGUAGUACGGAAUAAUUGUUGGAAACGGCAACUAAUACCGUAUACGCCCUACGGGGGAAAAAUUUAUUGCUAUUAGAUGAGCCUAUAUUAGAUUAGCUAGUUGGUGGAGUAAUAGCCUACCAAGGCAAUGAUCUAUAGCUGAUCUGAGAGGAUGAUCAGCCACACUGGAACUGAGAUACGGUCCAGACUCCUACGGGAGGCAGCAGUGGGGAAUAUUGGACAAUGGGCGAAAGCCUGAUCCAGCCAUGCCGCAUGAGUGAAGAAGGCCUUUGGGUUGUAAAGCUCUUUUAGUGAGGAAGAUAAUGACGGUACUCACAGAAGAAGUCCUGGCUAACUCCGUGCCAGCAGCCGCGGUAAUACGGAGAGGGCUAGCGUUAUUCGGAAUUAUUGGGCGUAAAGGGCGCGUAGGCGGAUUAGUAAGUUAAAAGUGAAAUCCCAAGGCUCAACCUUGGAAUUGCUUUUAAAACUGCUAAUCUAGAGAUUGAAAGAGGAUAGAGGAAUUCCUAGUGUAGAGGUGAAAUUCGUAAAUAUUAGGAGGAACACCAGUGGCGAAGGCGUCUAUCUGGUUCAAAUCUGACGCUGAGGCGCGAAGGCGUGGGGAGCAAACAGGAUUAGAUACCCUGGUAGUCCACGCUGUAAACGAUGAAUGUUAAAUAUGGGAAGUUUUACUUUCUGUAUUACAGCUAACGCGUUAAACAUUCCGCCUGGGGACUACGGUCGCAAGAUUAAAACUCAAAGGAAUUGACGGGGACCCGCACAAGCGGUGGAGCAUGUGGUUAAUUCGAUGCAACGCGA